AUUUAUAUAGUUUAAUAAAAACAUUACAUUUUCAUUGUAAAAUUAAUUCUUAUUUAUAAAUA
RNAcentral lists this transfer RNA (62 nucleotides) under Lathrobium brunnipes. RNAcentral's name for it is "tRNA-Glu". The record is from RNAcentral. Lineage: Eukaryota; Metazoa; Arthropoda; Insecta; Coleoptera; Staphylinidae.